RNAcentral lists this small RNA (27 nucleotides) under Bombyx mori (domestic silkworm). RNAcentral's name for it is "ovarian small RNA-16652". Lineage: Eukaryota; Metazoa; Arthropoda; Insecta; Lepidoptera; Bombycidae. The record is from RNAcentral.
GCCCGAAAUACAGCGCUGGCGGCCGUG